ACUUUAGACUGAAGGAUUUCUGUGGAGUAAAGUUGAGAAUCGACACGAGCUCCUGCGCUGUCUCCUCUCCCGCUGACGUGGUCGGGCAAAGGACCGUGGGAUGCUCCAAUAAUACAGACAGCAGGAGUAUCUAGGUUUGUCAAGAAGUUCAGCUAAAAAACUCUCAGAGGUGGUGCAGGACAAAAACUGAGUUGGACUCAAUAAAAAAGAGGAAAUUCUCUGAUCCCAGGAGGUCAUGAUGAGGAUUUAUGGUGAUGAUGAUGGUGGAGCUGUGAUGAAAUAAUAAACAGAACUGUUCUCAUCAACCACAGAUCCGCUCUCAUCCACCACAGAACCGCUCUCGUCAACCACAGAACUGCUCUCGUCCACCACAGACCUGCUCUCAUCCACCACAGAACCGCUCUCGUCAACCACAGAUCCGCUCUCGUCAACCACAGAUCCGCUCUCGUCAACCACAGAACUGCUCUCAUCCACCACAGAACUGCUCUCAACAACCACAGACCUGCUCUCAUCAACCACAGACCUGCUCUCAUCAACCACAGACCUGCUCUCAUCAACCACAGACCUGCUCUCAUUCACCACUGAACCGCUCUCGUCAACCACAGAACCGCUCUCAUCCACCACAGAACCGCUCUCAUCCACCACAGAACCGCUUUCAUUCACCACAGACCUGCUUUCAUCAACCACAGAACCGCUUUCAUUCACCACAGAACCGCUCUCAUCAACCACAGACCUGCCACAUACUGGAUAUUUUGUUGUUUUUCGCACUUUCUCAGAUCAGCAGUUUCUGAAAUACUCAGACCAGCCUUUCUGGCACCCAAUUUAUUUAUUUUUUUGCCAUGUUUUUUCCCCAAUUCUGUUGUUUGACGUGAAUACCUGUGUCUAUAUGCCACAUGGAGUUCCUGUUAAAAUGGCUAGUGAGUGUAUAAUACUAUAUAAUUAAAACUAGAGGUUAUAUGGCACGUAGCGGUGUUGAUGCCAAUAACAAAAUACGGUGGAUCGGAUAUCGGAGAAAACAUAUCGGCUAUCGGAUCCUGUAACAAACAGCAAAGACUGGAAUUGGAUUUGGAACAGAAAUUUAUUUUGGAACCGGAAAUGUUUAUAUAUAAAGAGACUUGACUGUUUUUUUCUUUUGUUAGGAUUGAUUUUAUUAUAUUUAUGUUUACUUCUGGUUUUGCAGCUAAUCCCUGACAGCCAGCAGUCAGUCACUGCUGUCUGAGAAGUGAACUAUUAUGAAAUAUGGUACCUACUUUACUGAAACAUUUGUUCUAUAAGAUUUAAUUUUGUGUUGGAAAAGUAAUGUUUGGAAAUCUAAAAUGUUUUUUACUGACUCAGUAAUGCAGAAAUCAUAAAAGAAACAUCUGUAACAAAAUGUGUACUAAAGAAAUGGAGUGUCUAAGACUUCGGAGUUUAAAAAAGAAAUUAUGAUAGAUAGAUAGAUAGAUAGAUAGAUAGAUAGAUAGAUAGAUAGAUAGAAAAACAGAUAGAUAGAUGGACAGACGGACUG
RNA transcript from Pangasianodon hypophthalmus (striped catfish), 1507 nucleotides. It is a transcript of the gene named salivary glue protein Sgs-4-like, with no coding region annotated. Lineage: Eukaryota; Metazoa; Chordata; Actinopteri; Siluriformes; Pangasiidae. The record is from RefSeq and is a predicted model, not a curated record. The transcript has 3 exons.